This 1456-nucleotide long non-coding RNA is filed under the name Mytilus galloprovincialis (Mediterranean mussel). Lineage: Eukaryota; Metazoa; Mollusca; Bivalvia; Mytilida; Mytilidae. The record is from RNAcentral.
UGUGCGUUUUUGAUUUUUUUGUUAUACUGAGCGGUUUUAAGGAACAAUAAAACAUACAUAAAACAUAACAUUUAAAUAUAAUAAAUAUUACGAUAUUUGAAGAAUCCUAUUGUUGUGGUUUGGGAACAGUAUAUCUAACAUAUAUAUGUUCCUGUUGUGGUGGAUUCUAUUUUAUGACCUAAUUGAUCCUAAUUUUAAACUAACAAUUGUUUUAAUAGAAAGAGUUAGUUCCCUUUGAAUACAAAAGUUUGAGCUGAAUAAUGAAAUCCAACGUAAUUUGGAGGGUUUAAAAAGCACCCAAUUAUAUGCAACCGGUUACCCCGUUCUUAUAAAAAAUAAUAAUUAUACGAAAAUUAUCAUACUAUGUUUUUAUAAGAAUCUAAAUAAUUAUGAACGUAUUUAUAAAAAUUUAAGUUAAACAUGUUAAAACAAAAACCUUCUAAAUAUCCCGCUGCUGUACCGUAAUUAUAUUUUAUUUCAUUACAACACCCGAUAUCCCAAAGUGAAUGUUGUUUAUUCUCUUCUUUUGAUUUAUUUUGAUUUUUUGUAAUUGCUAAUUACUUCACUCUUAAUCUUCACAUAUAUAAUUAUAUUCAAAAUAUCCAUCUUAUCACUUUUCAACUGACAUAACUUGUAAACUAAUUAGUGUAAAUCAUUCGUUUAUAUGAGUUUGUAACGUUUAAAUAAGGUUACAAUUAAAGCAAAAUUCUGUUUAUCUAUGUCUGCACUUUAAACAUACCUUCAUUAAACUUAAAAAAUUUCUUCAUUUUUUUUAAAGAUACGAAAAUUGUUCUUAUUCUAACAAGAGUUGUUUCCCUUUUAUUGUUCAAUCACAUAAUAUUAUGUGUCCCUAGUCACGUACAUGCAUGUGUAUAUGUUUAAAAUAUUAUAUUUGAUUAUGCUUGCUUGGACACCAAUGAGCAAAAAUACACAAUGAAGAGUUUCACAAAGACAAGGAUUUUUAAUGUAAAAUCAGCUGUUGUCUACAUGCAUUGUAUAAUUGCUUACAUAAGGAUAGCAGAUUCACUUUUAUUACUACUACAUGGCUUUUUCAUAUAUUGUAUAAUCACGCACAAAAGAAACAUUAAAAAUAUUGAAAUUUAAUUUAUCCGAAGUUUCUUACUAUUUCGAAGAAUUUCCAUUUUGUCUUAAACAAUUUAAUACUGUGUGUGUGCAAAUACAAUAAACUUCUUGUUUACGCAGGAGCACAUCAUAUAUUAAACAAAAACAACGUCCGUGAUGUUAGGUUUCAAAUCAAAAAGGUUAUAAUUUUGUUUUGCCAAUGAUAUGUUAUUUAUAAUUUUGCCUAUUACUACAGUAUUGUUGUUUCAAGAAGCACUUUAAAUUAACUAUUUGUAUCAAAACAUCCUCCUACGACCCGCUUGUUGUUGUUGAAGACGGUAUGCUGACAUGAGGGUGUAUUUUUUGUAUAAUUGUUCGCAUCCAUUUGAUUUCG